RNAcentral lists this long non-coding RNA (6259 nucleotides) under Marmota monax (woodchuck). The record is from RNAcentral. Lineage: Eukaryota; Metazoa; Chordata; Mammalia; Rodentia; Sciuridae.
GCACCCCCCACCCCUGCCCUCCAACAUCCUUCAUCCCCAGCCCUACUCAGCAGCCCGCCCCGCCCACAGCUAUGUGCUGACACUCGUCACAGACGGCAUGCGCAGCGUCCGUGCCUUCCACUUUGACAAGGCAGCCGCCAGUGUCCUCACCACCAGUGUGAGUAGGGGCAGGGGUGGAGGUCUUGCACUGGGUCCAGGUCUGGCCUCCUCUCAUCCACACGCCCGCCCUCAGAUGGUCACCAUGGAGCCUGGGUACCUGUUCCUGGGCUCGCGCCUGGGCAAUUCCCUCCUCCUCAAGUACACAGAGAAGCUGCAGGAGCCCCCAGCCAGUGCUGUCCGCGAGGCUGCUGACAAGGUGGGUGCUCAUGGUGGUGCCCAGGUGCUUGGCCACCUCCCCUUGGUGUAAAGCAGCCUGGAAAUGCUGUUCACCUCUGUCUCCCGCCUCACAGGAAGAGCCUCCCUCCAAGAAGAAGCGGGUGGACCCCACAGUGGGCUGGUCAGGUGAGAGCUGGACCGGUUGGGUGGGGUGGGUCUGGGAGCCAGGGCAAGGCUCAAGUGGGCUGUGUGCGCUACAGGGGGCAAGUCCGUGCCACAGGACGAGGUGGACGAGAUUGAAGUGUACGGCAGUGAGGCCCAGUCAGGCACACAGCUGGCCACCUACUCCUUUGAGGUGAGACUGGGGACAGCCGUGGAUGCCCGCCCCCUCCCACCACCUGACUGCCACUGUGUCUUCAGGUGUGUGACAGCAUGCUCAACAUCGGACCCUGCGCCAAUGCUGCUGUGGGCGAGCCCGCCUUCCUCUCCGAAGAGGUGCCUGGGGCCUGGGCUUGGGUUGGGGGCAGGAGCGGGGUUGGGGCAGCAUCUUUACCCCGACCUGUGCAGUUUCAGAACAGCCCUGAGCCAGACCUGGAGAUUGUGGUUUGCUCCGGCUAUGGGAAGAACGGGGCCCUAUCAGUGCUGCAGGUGUGUAGGGCAGGGGGGGUGGGCACCUGCGGGCAGCACCUGAGUAGGCUGACCCCAUCCCACCCUAUCUUCAUUCCAGAAGAGUAUCCGGCCCCAGGUAGUGACAACCUUUGAACUUCCUGGCUGCUAUGACAUGUGGACAGUCAUUGCCCCUGUGCGCAAGGAGGAGGUAGGUGGGACCCUAGGUGAUAGUGACUGUGGUGGCCUGAGGGCACCUGGAUCCAGUGGUCAUAGCCAUCACAGCUCUCUGUCCUCCCUGUCCUUGGCCCGUGCAGGAGGAGGCACCUAAGGCAGAGGGCCCAGAGCAGGAGCCGAGCACCCCUGAAGCAGAAGAUGAUGGCCGGAGACAUGGCUUCCUCAUUCUGAGCCGGGAAGACUCAACAAUGGUGAAGGGCGGGGUCUGGAUGUGGGCGUCUGGGGUUCCCCGGGGAAGGGCACAACUCACUACGUUACCUACAGAUCCUUCAGACUGGCCAGGAGAUCAUGGAACUGGACACCAGUGGCUUUGCCACACAGGGCCCCACGGUUUUUGCUGGAAACAUUGGGGACAAUCGCUACAUUGUCCAAGUGUCACCACUGGGCAUCCGCUUGCUAGAAGGAGGUAGGUGGGCAAGUGUAGGGAAGCGCGUCCUGGGGAGUAUGCUGCAUUGGCCACCCUGUGCUGACCACCCUGUGCCCACAGUGAAUCAGCUGCACUUCAUCCCUGUGGACCUGGGUGCCCCCAUCGUGCAGUGCGCUGUGGCCGACCCCUAUGUGGUCAUCAUGAGCGCCGAGGGCCGUGUUACCAUGUUCCUGCUCAAGAGUGAUUCGUAUGGUGGCCGCCACCACCGCCUUGCACUGCACAAGCCUCCACUGCACCAUGUAGGCCUCACCCUCUGUGUCUGCCAUCCCUGCCUAUGAUCCCCUAUCCCCACUGUCCCCGACCUACACUGGGCUUUGUCUCUCCCUGCAGCAGUCCAAGGUGAUCACACUCUGCCUGUAUCGUGAUGUCAGCGGCAUGUUCACCACCGAGAGCCGCCUGAGUGGGGCCCGUGAUGAGAUGGGGGGCCGCAGUGGUUCAGAGGCCGAAGGACUGGGCUCAGAGACCAGGUGUGCAGGGGGCCAGGGUGCAGGAGACCUGGGUCUCUGUGGCAGAUUGAGACAUGUCUGUGUCUUCAGCCCUACAGUGGAUGACGAGGAGGAGAUGCUCUAUGGGGACUCAGGCUCCCUCUUCAGCCCCAGCAAAGAGGAGGCCCGGAGGAGCAGCCAGCCCCCUGCUGACCGAGACCCUGCACCCUUUCGGGCAGAGCCCACCCACUGGUGCCUGCUGGUGCGAGAGAACGGCACCAUGGAGGUAGGUGCACACAUGUGGCUCAGCAGCCCUGGCAGCAUGGCAGGCCCUAUCGUCACUGACUGCUGUCCCCCACCAGAUCUACCAGCUUCCAGACUGGCGGCUGGUGUUCCUGGUGAAGAACUUCCCUGUGGGGCAGCGGGUCCUGGUGGACAGUUCCUUUGGACAGCCUACCACGCAGGGUGAGGCCCGCAAGGAAGAGGCCACGCGCCAGGGGGAGCUGCCCCUGGUCAAGGAGGUGCUGCUGGUUGCUCUGGGGAGUCGCCAGAGCAGGCCCUACCUGCUGGUGAGCCCUUUGGUGCCUGCCCAGAGGCUGGGACCUGCCCUCACAGCCCAGCCCAUUCCUCCACUCUGUCCUCGGGGCCCAGCCCCACCUCGUGGCCCACCCUGUCUCACUUCCAGGUGCAUGUGGACCAGGAGCUGCUUAUCUAUGAGGCUUUUCCCCAUGACUCUCAGCUUGGCCAGGGCAAUCUCAAAGUUCGCUUCAAGAAGGUGCAGCUGCUAGACCCUUUUGGGGUGGGUUGGGAGGGGUCCAGGCUACAGGGUCUGAAGGGCCUGGCGUUCAUCAACACCUUCACCAGGUCCCCCACAACAUCAAUUUCCGUGAAAAGAAGGCAAAACCCUCCAAGAAGAAGGCAGAAGGUGGCAGUGUGGAGGAGGGUUCUGGGGCCCGGGGACGUGUGGCACGUUUCCGCUACUUCGAGGACAUUUAUGGCUAUUCUGGGGUAGGCAGGCAGCUUUGUUUGGGCUUGGGGGUAGGGGAACAGGACCUUGCCCACAUGUUCUCACAGUGUCUGUCUCCAGGUGUUCAUCUGUGGCCCCUCACCCCACUGGCUCCUAGUGACUGGCCGGGGGGCUCUGCGGCUGCACCCCAUGGGCAUCGAUGGCCCCAUCGACUCCUUCGCCCCAUUCCACAAUGUCAAUUGUCCCCGAGGCUUUCUGUAUUUCAACAGACAGGUAGGAAGGUUAACUCUGGCCGCACCACAAGCACUGGUACUGCCCUGGCAAAGCUAGGCGCUAGGGACAGGAGGGCUCCUCAGCUGCAGCACAUCCCAGAGGACCAGGGAUGACUAUCUAGAGGAGGGUAGGGCCCAGGAGGUGGGAUCUGGGGCUUGAGGCUGGAGCAGUUGGCAGUGGAGGCCUGGCUGAUGGGGCAUACCCUGAAAGCCCUUGCCUCAUCUGUGACACCCACAUGGCAGCAAUGACCACCUGAGUCACUGACAGACUCUGGUGUUGAGUGCUUCCAAGGGGCUAAUGCACUCAGGACUGGACAGAAGCUGAGGCUGGGGCUGGCAGGGUCUCCCUCUGCCUGUGUUCUUCAGUCCCUGGCAUGGCCAGUCUCAGUCAUGUGGCUUUUAGUCUCUAGUGUCCUCUGGGCUUGGACUCCCAUGCCCUGUGCUGUAUUCCCCAGCCAGAAGGAUGGACAGGAGCCUACUGAUAGAAGGCAUGGGGACUGACGACCAAGGCUACAGCUCUUCCAGACCUUCCCCAGACUCGGUGACCCUAGCCAGGCAGUAGCGAGGCCUGCAGCCCUAGGCCUUGCUGACUAUUUCCACCCACCCCAGGGUGAGCUGCGGAUCAGUGUCCUGCCUGCCUACUUGUCCUACGAUGCCCCAUGGCCCGUCAGGAAGAUCCCACUGCGCUGCACGGCUCACUAUGUGGCUUACCAUGUGGAGUCCAAGGUCUGUCCCCUCCCCCAGCACUCCCUCCCCCAGGCACCCCAGGCGUGUGACACCAUUCAACUCCUAGGUGUACGCCGUGGCCACCAGCACCAAUACACCCUGCACCCGCAUCCCGCGCAUGACUGGUGAGGAAAAGGAGUUUGAGGCCAUUGAGAGAGGUAUGUGCCACCAGGGGUGGGGUGGACCAUGCCCAGGGCUGGCUACGACCACUGCCUCCUUGUCCCUGCAGAUGACAGGUACAUCCACCCCCAACAGGAGGCCUUCUCCAUCCAGCUCAUCUCCCCAGUCAGCUGGGAGGCCAUUCCCAAUGCCAGGUGAUGUUGGGCCCAGUGGGGGCUUCCGGGUGCCAGCAGGGCAGGACUAGGGUGUCCUGAUACAGCCUGUCCUUGUGCAGAAUUGAGCUGGAGGAAUGGGAACACGUCACAUGCAUGAAGACAGUGUCGCUGCGCAGUGAGGAGACUGUGUCGGGCCUCAAGGGCUAUGUGGCUGCUGGGACCUGCCUCAUGCAGGGAGAGGAGGUCACGUGCCGCGGGCGGGUAAGCAGCUGCCAGGUGGGGACAGGCGGCCCUUGGCAGCCUGUCUGCCAUCCCCACAUGUUCCCUUGCCCUGCCAGAUCCUCAUCAUGGACGUGAUUGAGGUGGUGCCCGAACCUGGCCAGCCCCUAACCAAGAACAAGUUCAAGGUCCUAUACGAAAAGGAACAGAAGGGGCCUGUGACCGCCCUGUGCCACUGCAAUGGUCACCUGGUGUCAGCCAUUGGCCAGAAGGUACACAGCUACUCCUCCCUGCUGUGUUUCUGCCUGCUCACCCUGCCCACUCCACUGACCCUUCUGCCCCCUAGAUCUUCCUGUGGAGCCUGCGGGCCAGUGAGCUGACGGGCAUGGCCUUCAUCGACACCCAGCUGUACAUCCACCAGAUGAUCAGCGUCAAGAACUUCAUCUUAGCUGCAGAUGUCAUGAAGAGCAUCUCACUGCUGCGCUACCAAGAAGAGAGCAAGACGCUGAGCCUGGUGUCCCGGGUACUUCAUGUGGUCUUGGGGUACAGGUGAGAGUCAUACUCGGGCUCCUCCUGACACCUUCUGCUCCCUGACAACAGGAUGCCAAGCCUCUGGAGGUGUACAGUGUGGACUUCAUGGUGGACAAUGCCCAGCUGGGCUUUUUGGGUGAGUAGGGUCUUGGGGGAGUGUCACCCUGGGGGUGGCUGGAGCUGACUCUGGGUCUUUGCUCCCUAGUGUCUGACCGAGACCGCAACCUCAUGGUGUACAUGUACCUGCCAGAAGGUCAGUGGCUCCCUCCCUCACUUGUUUUUUUCAAUGUUUUUUAGUAGUUGAUGGACCUCUAUUUAUUUGUAUGUGGUGCUGAGAGUCGAACCCAGUGCAUCACACAUGCUAGACAAGCUAUCACUGAGCCACAACCCCAGCCCUCCCUCCCUCACUUCUACUCCGGCUGGGUAUUGGGCACUGGGUGGGCAGUGAUCUGAGUUCUUCUGUCCUAGCCAAGGAGAGCUUUGGGGGCAUGCGCCUGCUGCGCAGGGCAGACUUCCACGUGGGUGCCCACGUGAACACGUUCUGGAGAACGCCAUGCAGGGGGGCCACUGAGGGGCCCAGCAAGAAGUCGGUGGUGUGGGAGAACAAGCACAUCACGUGGUUUGGUGAGUGGGGUGGGGUAACUGAGCUCACUGCCCCCUCGAGCCACACUGGAUGACUAGGGGGUUGACCUGGCUCACGCUUCCCCCCAUCCCCAGCCACACUGGAUGGCGGCAUCGGGCUCCUGCUGCCCAUGCAGGAGAAGACCUACCGGAGGCUGCUGAUGCUGCAGAACGCACUGACCACCAUGUUGCCCCACCAUGCUGGUCUCAACCCCCGUGCCUUCCGGUGAGCACCCACCAUCCUCAGGGCUCUGCCUACCCUCCCAGGUUGCCCUGACCCCCCACACCCCCUCCCCAGGAUGUUGCAUGUGGACCGGCGCAUCCUACAGAACGCAGUGCGCAACGUGCUUGACGGAGAGCUGCUCAACCGCUACCUGUACCUCAGCACUAUGGAGCGUGGGGAGCUGGCCAAGAAGAUUGGCACGACCCCAGACAUUGUGAGUUGGCCUGCUUUCCCCCGCCCAUCCUGUCCCUGCCCUGCUGAGCCCUGCCCUGACGGCUUUCACCCUACAGAUCCUUGAUGACCUGCUGGAGACUGACCGUGUCACCGCCCACUUCUAAGCAUGUGGAUGCCACCCUGCCCCCGCACACUGCCUCCCCCCACCUUUUGUACAAAACAAGGAAAACAAAUUGUUUGA